Molecule: ribosomal RNA, 253 nt
Filed under: uncultured bacterium
Lineage: Bacteria
Description: partial 16S ribosomal RNA
Rfam family: Bacterial small subunit ribosomal RNA
Source: RNAcentral
UACGUAGGGGGCAAGCGUUGUCCGGAAUCAUUGGGCGUAAAGCGCGUGUAGGCGGCCCGAUUAGUCCGCUGUGAAAGUCCAGGGCUCAACCCUGGGAUGCCGGUGGAUACUGUCGGGCUCGAGUCCGGAAGAGGCGAGUGGAAUUCCUGGUGUAGCGGUGAAAUGCGCAGAUAUCAGGAGGAACACCGGUGGCGAAGGCGGCGUCCUGGACCAACACUGACACUGAUGAGCGAAAGCCAGGGGAGCAAACGGG